This 673-nucleotide ribosomal RNA is filed under the name uncultured Clostridium sp. Its description in RNAcentral is "bacterial SSU rRNA". It matches the Rfam family "Bacterial small subunit ribosomal RNA", at positions 53 to 754 of the family's 1533-position model. The record is from RNAcentral. Lineage: Bacteria; Bacillati; Bacillota; Clostridia; Eubacteriales; Clostridiaceae.
ACAUGCAAGUCGAGCGAUCUUCUUCGGAAGAGAGCGGCGGACGGGUGAGUAACGCGUGGGUAACCUGCCUCAUACACAUGGAUAACAUACCGAAAGGUAUGCUAAUACAAGAUGAUAUAAGAGAUUCGCAUGGAUUUCUUAUCAAAGCUUUUGCGGUAUGAGAUGGACCCGCGUCUGAUUAGCUAGUUGGUAAGGUAAUGGCUUACCAAGGCUUCGACCAGUAGCCGACCUGAGAGGGUGAUCGGCCACAUUGGAACUGAGACACGGUCCAAACUCCUACGGGAGGCAGCAGUGGGGAAUAUUGCACAAUGGGCGAAAGCCUGAUGCAGCAACGCCGCGUGAGCGAUGAAGGCCUUCGGGUCGUAAAGCUCUGUCCUCAAGGAAGAUAAUGACGGUACUUGAGGAGGAAGCCCCGGCUAACUACGUGCCAGCAGCCGCGGUAAUACGUAGGGGGCUAGCGUUAUCCGGAUUUACUGGGCGUAAAGGGUGCGUAGGUGGUUUCUUAAGUCAGGAGUGAAAGGCUACGGCUCAACCGUAGUAAGCUCUUGAAACUGGGAAACUUGAGUGCAGGAGAGGAAAGUGGAAUUCCUAGUGUAGCGGUGAAAUGCGUAGAUAUUAGGAGGAACACCAGUAGCGAAGGCGGCUUACUGGACGGUUACUGACACUGAGGCAC